UUAGGAUUUUCCACUUCUUGGGCCCAAGUGCCUGCUGCUUGUGGUGAAUUUGAUCUUGUUGUGUUGCUACAGUGUUAAUUGAUGCUUCGAUUGAACUGCAAGAUUAACCCCUAGUGCUACCACCAUAGAUUCAAUGAAGUAGGGCAGACUUAUUGCAAGUAUCCAAUGAGCAAGAAGGCAGUUGGUUUUUGUUUUGAGAAUUUUUAUGUUGUGCUCCUGCAAUUUGAGACGUAGGCUCUAGUGAGAAAAUGCAGCCUACAGGUCUGUUUUGGCGGAUUUUGAUUGCCUGACGCUUUGGUUGCCUCUAUCCUCAUGAUGCAUCGACGCACGUUGCCCUGUCUCCACUUCCUACAACUAAUUGUAUAUAUGAAUUAAUUUGAGAAGUGCAGGUUGAUGCAGCGCUAUGAGGCUUGGUCGCUUGGAUGCGGUCCUGGAGGCAUAAAACGCACAUGAUGUUUACAAGCAUGGUGGCAGUAAGAGAAGCGCCAUGAUGUACCAUGGCUUGACGAGAUGCAUAUGUCGGCAUUUUUUUGUGUAUUGCUGGAACAUGGUUUGCAUCACUACAUUCUAAGUGUAUAAUGUGAAGGUGGAUAGUUCAGCAUAAUUACUAACGGAAUUUGAUACCUUUCAACGAAACGAUUCAAAAGAUAUAUGGAUGAUUAUAUGGGUGCGUGGCAAGUAUAAUGCAAUGAUGAUGAUGUUCCAGUUCGUGAUGAUGAUGAUGAUGGAUGCUUUUGGUUUUGUUAAGUUGUAGGGACGUUGUUGAUGUUACUAGAUGAUGUUCCUCAGUUACGUUUUAGUUUAGUUGUAGGGAUGUUGAUGGAUUCUUUCAGUUAAAGUUUCGCUUCGCUGUGAAGAAAAUAUUUAGAUUAUGCAGCAUAUUUGGAUGAUGUUCCUCAUGUAAUAUCCACUAUUGUAAUCCAAAAGUUUUUAUCCAAUAUAUGAUUUCUUCC
Triticum urartu is the source of this 953-nucleotide non-coding RNA. Lineage: Eukaryota; Viridiplantae; Streptophyta; Magnoliopsida; Poales; Poaceae. The record is from RefSeq and is a predicted model, not a curated record.